UUAUGCCCUGUGAGGAUUCGGAAACCCAGACUCUCAGCUGAAGAAAUGGGCUUCCCAGGGGUCACACAGCCAUUUGCAGAUGUCAGCCCCAUGGGGCACCAAUGACUCACAUCUUCCCUCCAAGCUGAGGUGGGGAUCCCAUGAACGAGACUGACUGGAGCAAGGCCUGCCUCCCAGUGGGACAUUUAGAUAGUGACCCAUAGACGCCUCCACCAGGAAGCCCUCUGGGAAGAAGACGGCCUCUGCGUCCCAGCUCUGUCCAGUGGCCUCCAAGGUCCCCACCCAGCAUCAGCGCUGAGCAUGAGCAGGCAUCGUGUGGGGGGUAAGCCGUUGGCAAGGCCACUUGGCUCUACCUUCAAGACAUACCAGAGCCUAACGCGUCCCGCCGCCUGGUCCCCUCCCGCUGGGACCUGCGCCCACCUCCUCACCGGCCCCUCCUCUGCACACAACCUCUGGAAAACCUUAA
This is a long non-coding RNA of Equus quagga, 466 nucleotides long. RefSeq lists it as uncharacterized. The transcript has 3 exons. The record is from RefSeq and is a predicted model, not a curated record. Lineage: Eukaryota; Metazoa; Chordata; Mammalia; Perissodactyla; Equidae.